RNAcentral lists this ribosomal RNA (400 nucleotides) under uncultured Halomonas sp. RNAcentral describes it as "bacterial SSU rRNA". It matches the Rfam family "Bacterial small subunit ribosomal RNA", at positions 994 to 1394 of the family's 1533-position model. Lineage: Bacteria; Pseudomonadati; Pseudomonadota; Gammaproteobacteria; Oceanospirillales; Halomonadaceae. The record is from RNAcentral.
AACUUGGCAGAGAUGCCUUGGUGCCUUCGGGAACUCUCAGACAGGUGCUGCAUGGCCGUCGUCAGCUCGUGUUGUGAAAUGUUGGGUUAAGUCCCGUAACGAGCGCAACCCUUGUCCCUAUUUGCCAGCGAUUCGGUCGGGAACUCUAGGGAGACUGCCGGUGACAAACCGGAGGAAGGUGGGGACGACGUCAGGUCAUCAUGGCCCUUACGGGUAGGGCUACACACGUGCUACAAUGGCCGGUACAAAGGGUUGCGAAGCCGCGAGGUGGAGCCAAUCCCGAAAAGCCGGUCUCAGUCCGGAUCGGAGUCUGCAACUCGACUCCGUGAAGUCGGAAUCGCUAGUAAUCGUGAAUCAGAAUGUCACGGUGAGUACGUUCCCGGGUCUUGUACACACCGAA